CACUCGCAUGUACGUAAUAAGGAACGGAUACGGAUAAACAACGCUGCUUUACAAGGAGUGGCAGCGAAACAGAACGGCAAAAUGUCACUGUUUCUAAAUAUUUUGAGUGGAAUAAUUUUCAUUAUUUCAAGCGCUGAGGCUGAUAUUUAUCUCCACAACCUCCGGGGCAGCAACAAUCGGCUGGAUGAAGCUACUCGGCCCAGGACAAAUGAAAAAAGGAUGUUUAACUCUCAGAACAACGCCCGAGGGGGGUACAACGUGGGCUCCCUCUUCUACUAUCAGGGGUCUUUGCUGCCAAUAGAAUGGACCAACCAGCACUCCUGCCAUGAUGCCAACAGUCACUGCGAGAUCAUCCUGCAGUACAUGUGCGGGGACGCCGUCCGGGAUGGCGCCACUACCAAAACAAUUCCUGAAACUCAUGCCCAGUGUCUCAACAAUGACUGCAACAGCGACCGCACUUAUGGCAUGCACGAAGACUACAACUACUACAACCACUGUAAACGGCGACAACGAAAUAAAGGCCUCUUUGUUGCCGACCAGAAUCUAAACAACAGGAAUCGUCAGUUUGCUCGGAACACAAGACAGAAUCCAGCGGGAACCAGGUAUGGGUACGAGUGUCCUGAGGAGAGAGAUUACUACCCAUACUGGCACCCAACACCCUGGAAGGACAUCGCAGUGAUGACUAAUGAUGCCCAGCGCUGCCUGUACUACCGAGCCCAGAGUGAGAACGUCAAGUCUCGCUGGGCCUGCGUCCUCCUCAACGACAGCACCACCGCUAUACCCAACAACAAGGAAGACUGCGAGCAACUUGAGACCAAUGGAGUCAAGGGCCAGUGGAAGGAAUUUCCUUCACAUGGACUACCUCCCCCUGACUGUCGGGAGACAGACUUCUCUCGGGAUAAUCACCUGGGAAACGGCAUUGGCGGUCACCCCCUACUUUACAACUGGACAGUCCCGAACAUCAGCCACGAGAAGUGUGUCAUGAGGAUCCGAUACAACGUCUCAACCAACGACUACGAUGGCUGGAACACAAAUUCUAGUCAGAAUGGAAACCCAACCAAAAUCGAAAUGGCCGACAAGUAUGGCUUCUCUACCGAGGAAGCCGCUGGAACAAGAGGUUACAAGUUUAAAAAUAACCCCGAGGUGAAGCUGUUCGACGAUGCUGACUUCAGCCUUCAGCUGGCCAUCAACACUGCCCAGUAUGGUCGGGUGUUUCAAGAUAGGUCUCACACAUUUGCUAUACGCCCUCGUCCAGACCACAUUGACAGCACAAGCACCAUCCACAACUUGAACGUACGCGGCAAGCGUGGCAACAUUGUGCAGGUGUACCCUUCUGUGGAAUACGACUUUGUACCAAACACCCUGGAGAUGGGGACAGGGGAAUAUGUGCACUUCCAAUGGACUGGUUCCAACACCAACAACCGUGGCAACGAUGGAAACGGUCUGGCUGGCACUGACCGCAACAACAUCGUUCUUCUGUCUGCAAAGAAAUACCCAGAAGGCAGUGGAGCCUCCUUUGGACCUGGCGUGAAACGGGGACAUUUUGGCGUUAAUUACCCUGAACACGUGACAAAUGAUACCUUCCUGGGACUGGGAAGAAAUGAUGUAGAAAAGCUUGCUCUUCUUACCACAGGUCAGUUCGGGGGUGAAAUGUCACAGCUGGAUGACGCAGGUACAUACUUCAACCUUGACCCCAGGCAGAUAACUCAGCUAGGAACUUACCACUUCAUGUCCACGAGGAACAACGACUUCUCCAACAGGGACCAGAAGGCCCGCAUCAUGGUGUACCCCUACCCAGUGAGAUACGAGGCCAUCGGCAGCAUGGGCGGCAGUGUCACCCUGCCUAGUGGCAAUGCCAAGGUUGAAGUGAGUCAAGGAGCCUUUGACAGACUACAGAAACUGAGACUUGAGGAAUGGAGUCGAGAGGAGGGAGACAGGCAGAUGCAGGCAGCACACCAGACCAUGAAUCUCGGCAGUGACUACGUCAGCAACUUCCUGGUGGUGUAUCCACAAAGCCAGAUCGCAAGUGACAGCAAAACAUUCACCAUUGAGCUGAAGGUUGACAGCGGCAGCUCGGACGUCGUCGUCUACAGGUCCAAUGCCAACAACUUCGCGACAUGGACGCGAGUGGAUGCCAGUAUUGACGGCAACAUGGCCAAGUUCCAGGCCCAGGGAGGGGGAGUCUUCGUGGCACGCAGUACCAGCAACAUCGGGAUGGUCGUCGGGAUAGCAAUUGCCUGUAUUGUCAUUGUCGUCAUCCUCAUCGGGACUCUGGUUUACUUCAAACUGCAUCCCAAGAAGUGGCAAAGUGUUAAAAACAACGCCAAAUACAUUCAGAGAUCUACUCAGAGCAAAGUAUGAGAAAUAUUUCUGCUGGAAGAAAAACCAACUCGGCUCAAUAGGUAGCACAUUUUUAUCAACCUGACCAAUUUGAAAUACACUGUGUAUUGUGACACUCUGUUAUCAAUACAAUAAGCGUCACAAUACUAGAUGUCAUGUGAAUGUAUUUUAAUUUAGACAUUUCAAAGGUAAACAAAGCAAUUAUUUUCCAAAAUAUUUUUUUUACGUCAAAUGUUACGUCAGAUAUUUUAACGGCUUUAGUGGAUGUUUUGAUCAGUACCAAUACGUACAGCAUUAAGUGUGCAGAUAAUCACGUUAAUCUGUUAAAAGUAUACAUACUGUAUUCGCCAUAUGAAGCGCUUGGGAGGGGGGUAAAUUUUGUUUUGAGAGAUUGAGCGGAAGGGAACACACUUUGUUCAAAAUCUUUUCUGUAAAAAGAGUACCCGCCAUGAUAUCGCUGGAAUAUUGCUAAUAGUGGCGUAAAACCAUACUUACUCACUCACUCACUGUAAAAAGAGACAAAAAUCCAGAAGACAAUACAGACUGUCAAGUAAAUUUUCUGUCCAAGUAGAGUGCGUUUAUAAAGAUUUAUCUAGGAGUUGGUCAACGGGUGCUUGUUGGAGCAGGGCGCUUAGUGCGGUGAAUACGGUACUUCAUAGGGUGAUGCACCAGUGCAUCGAUGCAUCUCCUUAUUAGCCUUCCUCAUUGUAGUAUCUAGUCUUGACCAUCAUGACCACAGCAGGGAUUUGUCUAGAUCUGCCCCGAGGCCAAUAUUCGGCUUCAAGUCUGCAGCAACUGUCAGUAAAAAUUCCCAAAUUUAAAUGAAAAAAAUCCUUUAUGUUAAUUUCGUUAUUACUAAUGUUAUAACUUUGUCAGGGAACUUGUACUUCCACAAAUAAAGAGGCAUUAAUGCUCAGUUUUACAUUGUUGCAUAAGAUGCAAUGUUACAAUACCUCUGAAUUUAAGAACAUUUGAACUUUAAAAAAUCUGAUUUUGAUUAAAAUCAUAAUUGUUCCUCAAUAUGCCUGCCAAAGGCACUUAGUUUAGAGUCUACGAUACAGCCCCACAUAGAGGUCCCUAUUCCCUUGUCUAUAUGUCGACAUUUUAUCAGCUGGUUCCAGCAAUCUCCACACGGUUAUGAAUACAAAUACUCAUCUUUCAGUUUUACAUAUCAGAUGUGACUUGUGUAAUACAUGCAUGUAUCAAACAUCUUUAUCAUUUGGAAUCUUGUUCAUGUUCCAUACAAAUUCCACAGCAUCUCUAACAGCAAAAUAUGUAUUUAUGAUCAUAAUCAUAUUUGAUAA
RNAcentral lists this unclassified non-coding RNA (3644 nucleotides) under Haliotis rufescens (red abalone). RNAcentral's name for it is "protein DD3-3-like, transcript variant X1". The record is from RNAcentral. Lineage: Eukaryota; Metazoa; Mollusca; Gastropoda; Lepetellida; Haliotidae.